GGCCCAAUGGUCUAGUCGUAUGAUUCGCGCUUCGGGUCUCAUAGUAGAGUGCGCGAGGUCCCGGGUUCAAUUCCCGGUUGGGCCC
This is a non-coding RNA of Trametes punicea, 85 nucleotides long. NCBI's taxonomy places the organism in Eukaryota, Fungi, Basidiomycota, Agaricomycetes, Polyporales, Polyporaceae. The record is from the annotation of a GenBank genome assembly.